Molecule: ribosomal RNA, 452 nt
Filed under: uncultured bacterium
Lineage: Bacteria
Description: bacterial SSU rRNA
Rfam family: Bacterial small subunit ribosomal RNA
Source: RNAcentral
AACGAACGCUGGCGGCAUGCCUAACACAUGCAAGUCGAGCGGGGGAGCAAUCCCUAGCGGCGGACGGGUGAGUAACGCGUGGGAACGUACCCUUUGCUUCGGAAUAGCCCCGGGAAACUGGGAGUAAUACCGGAUGUGCCCUACGGGGGAAAGAAUUUCGGCAAAGGAUCGGCCCGCGUUGGAUUAGGUAGUUGGUGGGGUAAUGGCCUACCAAGCCGACGAUCCAUAGCUGGUUUGAGAGGAUGAUCAGCCACACUGGGACUGAGACACGGCCCAGACUCCUACGGGAGGCAGCAGUGGGGAAUCUUAGACAAUGGGCGCAAGCCUGAUCUAGCCAUGCCGCGUGAGCGAUGAAGGCCUUAGGGUUGUAAAGCUCUUUCGGUGGGGGGAAGAGUAAUGACGGUACCCCAAGAAGAAGCCCCGGCUAACUCCGUGCCAGCAGCCGCGGUAAU